CGGUAACAGGUCUUCGGAUGCUGACGAGUGGCGAACGGGUUGAGUAAUACAUCGGAACGUGCCCGAUCGUGGGGGAUAACGAGGCGAAAGCUUUGCUAAUACCGCAUACGAUCUACGGAUGAAAGCGGGGGAUCUUCGGACCUCGCGCGGACGGAGCGGCCGAUGGCAGAUUAGGUAGUUGGUGGGAUAAAAGCUUACCAAGCCGACGAUCUGUAGCUGGUCUGAGAGGAUGAUCAGCCACACUGGGACUGAGACACGGCCCAGACUCCUACGGGAGGCAGCAGUGGGGAAUUUUGGACAAUGGGCGAAAGCCUGAUCCAGCCAUGCCGCGUGCAGGAUGAAGGCCUUCGGGUUGUAAACUGCUUUUGUACGGAACGAAAAGGCUCUGGUUAAUACCUGGGGCACAUGACGGUACCGUAAGAAUAAGCACCGGCUAACUACGUGCCAGCAGCCGCGGUAAU
This 461-nucleotide ribosomal RNA is filed under the name uncultured bacterium. RNAcentral describes it as "bacterial SSU rRNA". It matches the Rfam family "Bacterial small subunit ribosomal RNA", at positions 67 to 524 of the family's 1533-position model. The record is from RNAcentral.